Molecule: ribosomal RNA, 1431 nt
Filed under: uncultured organism
Description: SSU rRNA
Rfam family: Bacterial small subunit ribosomal RNA
Source: RNAcentral
CGACAGGCUUAACACAUGCAAGUCGAGGGGCAGCACAGGUAGCAAUACCGGGUGGCGACCGGCGCACGGGUGAGUAACGCGUAUGCAACUUGCCUAUCAGAGGGGGAUAACCCGGCGAAAGUCGGACUAAUACCGCAUGAAGCAGGGAUCCCGCAUGGGAAUAUUUGCUAAAGAUUCAUCGCUGAUAGAUAGGCAUGCGUUCCAUUAGGCAGUUGGCGGGGUAACGGCCCACCAAACCGACGAUGGAUAGGGGUUCUGAGAGGAAGGUCCCCCACAUUGGUACUGAGACACGGACCAAACUCCUACGGGAGGCAGCAGUGAGGAAUAUUGGUCAAUGGCCGAGAGGCUGAACCAGCCAAGUCGCGUGAGGGAUGAAGGUUCUAUGGAUCGUAAACCUCUUUUAUAAGGGAAUAAAGUGCGGGACGUGUCCCGUUUUGUAUGUACCUUAUGAAUAAGGAUCGGCUAACUCCGUGCCAGCAGCCGCGGUAAUACGGAGGAUCCGAGCGUUAUCCGGAUUUAUUGGGUUUAAAGAGUGCGUAGGCGGCCUUUUAAGUCAGCGGUGAAAGUCUGUGGCUCAACCAUAGAAUUGCCGUUGAAACUGGGGGGCUUGAGUAUGUUUGAGGCAGGCGGAAUGCGUGGUGUAGCGGUGAAAUGCAUAGAUAUCACGCAGAACCCCGAUUGCGAAGGCAGCCUGCCAAGCCAUGACUGACGCUGAUGCACGAAAGCGUGGGGAUCAAACAGGAUUAGAUACCCUGGUAGUCCACGCAGUAAACGAUGAUCACUAGCUGUUUGCGAUACACUGUAAGCGGCACAGCGAAAGCGUUAAGUGAUCCACCUGGGGAGUACGCCGGCAACGGUGAAACUCAAAGGAAUUGACGGGGGCCCGCACAAGCGGAGGAACAUGUGGUUUAAUUCGAUGAUACGCGAGGAACCUUACCCGGGUUUGAACGCAUUCGGACCGAGGUGGAAACACCUUUUCUAGCAAUAGCCGUUUGCGAGGUGCUGCAUGGUUGUCGUCAGCUCGUGCCGUGAGGUGUCGGCUUAAGUGCCAUAACGAGCGCAACCCUUGCCACUAGUUACUAACAGGUAAAGCUGAGGACUCUGGUGGGACUGCCAGCGUAAGCUGCGAGGAAGGCGGGGAUGACGUCAAAUCAGCACGGCCCUUACAUCCGGGGCGACACACGUGUUACAAUGGCGUGGACAAAGGGAAGCCACCUGGCGACAGGGAGCGAAUCCCCAAACCACGUCUCAGUUCGGAUCGGAGUCUGCAACCCGACUCCGUGAAGCUGGAUUCGCUAGUAAUCGCGCAUCAGCCAUGGCGCGGUGAAUACGUUCCCGGGCCUUGUACACACCGCCCGUCAAGCCAUGGGAGCCGGGGGUACCUGAAGUCCGUAACCGCGAGGAUCGGCCUAGGGUAAAACUGGUGACUGG